Molecule: ribosomal RNA, 500 nt
Filed under: uncultured bacterium
Lineage: Bacteria
Description: partial 16S ribosomal RNA
Rfam family: Bacterial small subunit ribosomal RNA
Source: RNAcentral
GACGAACGCUGGCGGCGUGCUUAACACAUGCAAGUCGAACGGACCUGUCUUCUUUUUUGGGGGGUGGGUUGAGUGGCGAACGGGUGAGUAUCACGUGAGUAACCUGCCCUUCGGUCCUGGAUAACCGCUUGAAAGGGCGGCUAAUACGGGGUGGUCCGGUUGGUCCGCAUGGGCUGGUCGGGAUAGAUUCACUGUUUUUGGUGUUUCGGCGGGGGAUGGGCUCGCGGCCUAUCAGCUUGUUGGUGGGGUGAUGGCCUACCAAGGCGGUGACGGGUAGCCGGCCUGAGCGGGUGGGCGGCCACACUGGGACUGAGAUACGGCCCAGACUCCUGCGGGAGGCAGCAGUGGGGGGUAUUGCACAAUGGGCGGAAGCCUGAUGCAGCGACGUCGCGUGAGGGAUGGAGGCCUUCGGGUUGUGAACCUCUGUUUCCGGUGGUGAAGGCCCUGUCCGUGUGGUGGGGUUGACGGUAGCCGGGGAUGAAGCGCCGGCUAACUACGUG